RNAcentral lists this long non-coding RNA (392 nucleotides) under Nicotiana tabacum (common tobacco). RNAcentral describes it as "long non-coding RNA (NTAB_LNC005275)". Lineage: Eukaryota; Viridiplantae; Streptophyta; Magnoliopsida; Solanales; Solanaceae. The record is from RNAcentral.
CAGUUAGCAUUAGUGUUUUAAACCCUAAACUGAACUUUUCCUUUAGUCAGCAUUAGGGUUUUAAACCCUAAACUGAAUUUUUUCCUGCAAUCAGCAUUAGGGUUUUAAACCCUAAACUGAACUUUUUUCCAUUCAGCCAGCAUUAGGGUUUUAAACCCUAAACUAAGCUUUUCCAUGCCAUCAUCAUUAGGGUUUUAAACCCUAAACUGAAUUUUUCCUAUAGUCAGCAUUAGGGUUUUAAACCCUAAACUGAACUUUUUUCCAUUCAGUCAGCAUUAGGGUUUUAAAACCUAAACUGAACUUUUUCCUUUAAUCAACAUUAGGGUUUUAAACCCUAAACUGAACUUUUUUCCAUUCAGUCUGCAUUAGGGUUUUAAACCCUAAACCGAACU